This is a non-coding RNA of Zygosaccharomyces rouxii, 73 nucleotides long. The record is from Rfam. Lineage: Eukaryota; Fungi; Ascomycota; Saccharomycetes; Saccharomycetales; Saccharomycetaceae.
GGGCACAUGGCGCAGUUGGUAGCGCGUCUCCCUUGCAAGGAGAAGGUCAUCGGUUCGAAUCCGGUUGUGUCCA